GUGGGAGAGCAAAUUCCCAGGAAGUCCCAUAAAAGGGGGAGUAAACUGUGACCACACUAGAUUGCCAGAGCGGGUAAACACAGAAAGGAAUGAGAUUUGACCGGAAAAGCUUCAGGAAUUCGUGAAGAAGCCCAGCAAUGAAGGGGCUGUGGGUGAAAGGUUUGGCAAUCGUCAAAGGGCCAGGCUGGCGGAGGAGGCAGGCUGUAGGGUGCUCAUGUCAGGAACCAUUUCUUCAAGGCAGACAGACAUGGGUAACUGAGGCAGGGGAAGAAGGCAGUAUGAAAAAGUUCCCACAUCUCUCUCACUGGCUCUUGGGGCAGGUUUGAUUCUCCAAGGAUAUCACACUGUUCAAUGAGGAAAUUCACAGCUAUUGCCAUGGGAGCCAACGCCGAGUACCAGACAGCACAACUGUGAUGAAUCAAGGGCAGGGGCACCAAAUGAGAAAGAGGGUAAGACAUCCAAGGGAAGAGUAAGGGAGACCGUGGAAGACAGACAGAGCUGGCCACUGGAGCCUGAAGAGCUGGGCCAAUCAUUGAUCUCGGAACGUAUCAAUCUUUUUCGAUCUGCAAGUUGAAAGGUGCAAGUGGCCAUCAUUCAGAUAUGGGAAAUUAAGGAGUAAUCCAACAUGGAAUAUGGACUUUGACAUGCCAUAACAUAGAUGCUGCUGUAAGCUAUUGGUUCAAUAUUUCCCAAAGUAUAUUCUAUGGGAUUUAAAUAAGGAUCUGUGAUAAAAGUG
RNAcentral lists this long non-coding RNA (736 nucleotides) under Equus asinus (donkey). RNAcentral's name for it is "lncRNA (ENSEASG00005024237.1)". The record is from RNAcentral. Lineage: Eukaryota; Metazoa; Chordata; Mammalia; Perissodactyla; Equidae.